This 497-nucleotide ribosomal RNA is filed under the name uncultured bacterium. Its description in RNAcentral is "partial 16S ribosomal RNA". It matches the Rfam family "Bacterial small subunit ribosomal RNA", at positions 28 to 507 of the family's 1533-position model. The record is from RNAcentral.
GAUGAACGCUGGCGGCGUGCCUAAUACAUGCAAGUCGAGCGAACAGAUGAGGAGCUUGCUCCUCUGACGUUAGCGGCGGACGGGUGAGUAACACGUGGAUAACCUACCUAUAAGACUGGGAUAACUUCGGGAAACCGGAGCUAAUACCGGAUAAUAUAUUGAACCGCAUGGUUCAAUAGUGAAAGACGGUUUUGCUGUCACUUAUAGAUGGAUCCGCGCCGCAUUAGCUAGUUGGUAAGGUAACGGCUUACCAAGGCAACGAUGCGUAGCCGACCUGAGAGGGUGAUCGGCCACACUGGAACGGAGACACGGUCCAGACUCCUACGGGAGGCAGCAGUAGGGAAUCUUCCGCAAUGGGCGAAAGCUUGACGGAGCAACGCCGCGUGAGUGAUGAAGGUCUUCGGAUCGUAAAACUCUGUUAUUAGGGAAGAACAAAUGUGUAAGUAACUAUGCACGUCUUGACGGUACCUAAUCAGAAAGCCACGGCUAACUACGUG